CAUUCUCAACAGAAGGUCAGGGAAGCCCACCUUAGGAGACGGGAGACGCAUAUGUAGCCUCACCCCUCCUAGAAUUAGAAGACUUCUUGGGGGUCUCCUGGGGAUGGCAGCACCUGGAUCCCCAGCCCUAGUCUAGUAGCUAAGCCUCUACUUGAAAUGUUGAAUGGAAAGGAUGAUGAUCCUUCUAAAUGGAAACCAGAAUUCAAAGGGGCCUUUUGAGAAUUGAAACAGCAAUUCCUUCAGGCCCCCGUCCUGGCCCUCCCAGACUGAGCUACUUCAACAGAGAUCCAGGAGGCCAGCAACGGCCAGUUAAUGACCACAGGAGAUACUUCUUUCCCCAAUUGCAGCUUGUCAAGUAUAAGGGAGGCUCAUCAAAGAACUCACUCCAGGAGGGAAGCCCUAUAUCAUUGGUUAGCGGGGUCACGGUAACUCCUGGCAUGAAAGGUAUAGUCAGUGGGAUUGUUGAAACAUGCCUGACUCCCUUCUCCACCAAAGCCCCAGAUAAGGACCAUUCAGAUCAGGGGGACAUACCCUGGAGAAGACUGACAUACUGAUCUCAUGCUGAGGGCAGCUGGCAAUUUCAGUGCUGAGUCUAGUGUCGCUGGCUCACAGGCAGCCACGGGCAGAGACCUCGAACCUGGCACUUCAGACCAGGGUUCCUGAUGGGUAGUGGCUGCACUUACACCUGGGCUCAGAGCUGUGUGCAAAGAGCCCUACCCCCUCAUUGCUGACCGGGACCCUAUAAAGCAGCCCUGCCCACAGCCUACAGGAGAGCCUGUGCUCUGGACCAGGACCUCACACCUCUCUGUUCUCUGAUCAGGGAAUAAAGCUUUCCUUUGCUUCCGAAUCUGACUCAGUCUCGUUCUGUUGACUCAAACAACACCAGGCAGGUGGCCCUCCUUGGGGCCAACUCGGAAGGUUCAGUGACACGUGCCUGCUCUUCCCACCUGGCAGCAGAGAGGAAGCACCCUCCCUUCCACUUCUGGGGUAGUGUGAGAUGAAGCCACCUAAAACAGAAAAUUUAAAUAAGUACCAAAAUCUCAUAAUAUAAUACCACAAAGUUCCAGGUUGCAGUAACAAAUUACUCAUUAUAUCAAGAACCAGGUAGAUCUCAAACUGAAUGAAACAAUCAAUAGAGGACAAUAUCAAGAUACCAUCAGUAAUAGAAUUCUCACAGACGUGAAGCGAACAUCAUAAAAAUGCCUCAUUGAUUAUAAGCACUCUGAUAAUGAAUAAAAUAGAGCAGCUCAACAGAGAAAUAGAAGGUGUAAGCAAGAGCCAAAUAGAAAUUAUAAUAACCAAAUUAAAAACUCAAUAGAAGGGCUCUACAGCUGAGUGGAGAACCCAGAUG
Bos taurus (domestic cattle) is the source of this 1351-nucleotide long non-coding RNA. NCBI's taxonomy places the organism in Eukaryota, Metazoa, Chordata, Mammalia, Artiodactyla, Bovidae. The record is from Ensembl.